Lotus japonicus is the source of this 672-nucleotide long non-coding RNA. RefSeq lists it as uncharacterized. The transcript is spliced from 2 exons. The record is from RefSeq and is a predicted model, not a curated record. NCBI's taxonomy places the organism in Eukaryota, Viridiplantae, Streptophyta, Magnoliopsida, Fabales, Fabaceae.
AAAACAUGAUUCAAUUUAGGCGAGGACUUCUCCAAAAGAUAUGGAGGUAGAGGGGUUCUACAGGGUCGUCCUCAGAACACAUGAUUCUGGCUCUGUUGUUCAGAAACAAAACAAGCAUUACAAUCAUGUGUUCUCAGGUCGCCCCUGCUGGACUUUCCUCUACCAUGCAUUGGCCACCAAAAGUAGAAUCUGCUAUUUCAGUUACAUGAAUAUGAUUCAGCUCUUCUUCAGUAACUCUCUUCCAAACUCCAUCUACCAAGAGGCAUCUAUUGUCCCUUUCCGGUGGAAGUUCAUCGUUUAAUUCACCAAAUUCAUUGGUCUCCCUUAUCUUCUUGACGGCUGAAUUAUCAAGUAGCUCAAGGUCUAAAGUGGCGUCUCUCUUGGCACCAUGUGGCAUCUCUUUCCUUUCUGAUACUUGAUUCUGUUUUACAUUAUCAAUAAUGUUCUGUUUUACGUUAUCAAUAAUGUCAAGAACAGGAAGACAACCAGAUGAACCAACAGCACGAGGCAACAUGCCGAUCGGACAUGGGUUCCAUGACUCUGUCAAAGUCCAAACCUUUGGCUUUUUGGUCUCACAAUUCAGUGUCGUUGGUUUUUUAUUUUUCAUGAUCUGUUGUUUAACUAACUCUAGCUUUUUAGCUGCUUCACGAAUGGAUUCCUCAAAUUGGAACA